AUGUGAAUACACAUAAUAAAACGUCGGGCGACUUCCUCCAGCGGGCGUGCCAACUCUGACUCAGCUCUGCCCUUCUCUUCAAGUUCUUCACUGGCCAUAAGUCCAAAGACAUCUGGAUGCCGUGGGAUCCUGAAUAGCUCCUGUGCCUGCGUCCUGUCCUUCCACUGCAUCUCAGAAGCCAUGCCAGUGACACAGCUGUGUCUGGAGGGGACACUGAGCCUGCUGCCAGCACUUGCCCUCAGCCCAGGGGUGGAGUCAACACUAAGUGUGACAAAGGGACAGAUGGCAAGUCCACUGUGACGCUCACUACUGAUCACACUGCAUCUGGAGCUCGCCCUGUCUCUGGCUUCCUGGUUACAGAGCCCCCGUCUGUGUCAUCGCAGCCAUACCUUUAUCACAGAAAGGACUCGUGGGAAGGAGGGAGUGGAGACUCUAGAAGACACCCAAGGGCUGUCCUCUGACCAGAAUCCCAGUGAUGCGAGGUCUGACUGCCCAAAUCUUGGGAAGACUUAUGAUUGUUUUAAAAGAUUCCUUAUAGAAAAUGGAAGAAACAAGGAAAAUGGAGGAAAUGAGGGGGAAACUCUAAUCCCAUAGUGGUAACAUUAUCCUCUACGUGAGAAAUGCAUUGAGGUUACACAGCAGUUAAUACCGAUGGUCCUUAUCGACCCUGUCUGGUCGAUGGACUAGGUAUUAUUAUUUCCAUUUCACAGAAGAGGACAGUGAAGGUGAGCAUCUUGCCCAAAGCCAUUCAAAGAGUAAAAUUUGGAGACAGAACAUAAAUUCUGGUCCUGGAGCUGCAUAGUGUUCGUGCUCUCCAUUUUUUCCUGGGGCCUCUUCCUUGAUAAAAACACUGAAAUUCUUCUUCCACCACCUGGUGGAGGUGGGCUGAGGGAUGAGGUGCCCACAGGUGUGUGGCACUGGGAACACAUCCUCUGUCCCCUCCACUCCUUCUGUUUCCCCUCCUCUCCAUGAAGGACUGUGCUGUGAUUUUGCCAGGUAGAAGGCAGUAACACCCACUCUGGCAGCCCACAAGGCUGCAAAGCCAAACAGAAAGUCAAAGCCGGCUGUGUUUUACCACCUCCAGGGUGCCUCCAUUUAAAAUUAAAGCUCAGCAUGUCGUCUUUUAAAAAUUCACGAUUUAUUAUAAAGGGAGAAGAAAAGCUCUUGCCCUAACGAUUAAGUUUUCAGAAGGAUCACCUUGUAGCCAGGCUGUAAAACCGUGGCUGCUGGAAGGCUGGGGUAUUUAAAGAAUGUGAGCUGAAGUGGUUUUUCUUGAGUCGUUUUUUUCAUUUGCAUGGUGCUAAGACAUUUGCCAUGAGAGGGGCAUUUCAGAGCUUUCAGGCCAACUGCAAUAAACUGGUAAACAACAGCCUGCCAUUGAAGUGCGGAUUUUUCUAUCUAUGCUUAAGGGUUAUUUGCACUGCCUGUCACCAUCCCUGCUUCUUGUUGCUCUGGACUUUCUGCUCUUCAGCUAUGGCAGAAAAAAUAGCUGGGUCUGGUCGGGGUUUCGAAACUGGUCUGACCUUUACUCUGAAUUGUUGGCUCCCAGGGUCCCCGCUGCCCAGGAAGCCUCUCCCUGAGGCAUGUGGAGAUAAUGACUUCAAAUAUGGAUUUAAAAGCCUCCGGGAGCAGCAGUGAGGUAUUAUUUGGUCUCAGAAACUGCUUCUUGGUUAAGCUCUAGUUCCAAGCCAUCUGGGUCACAUUUCCUGUGGGAAAACACAGAGAACCCCUGUCUUCUUCAUGGACACGUUCCUCCCAGCACUGAGUGUCUUUGCAGAUCAGCACUUUCUAAGAGUUUUCAGGAAAUCUGUGAAGGCUCAUGCUACGGCCAAAAUAAAUCAAAUAGGAUAAAUGUUCACUUUUUGGAGUCCUCCCUUCAUUAGUUUGGGAUGAGUGACAGUUUAUGCUGGGGUGAGUUAGAAGCAAAAGGGGCAGCCUCUACGUUGGUCUCCAUGAUCCCCUCCUCCUCAUAUUUUCACCUGGGUAUAAUCCCCACCUCUUGAAUGUGUGUUGGGGGUGUCCCCGUGACUUGCUUCUGACUGAUGGAAUAUGGCAAAGGUGAUGACUGCGUGACUGGAUUACAUUACACAUUUAAGACUGUCAUCCUAGCAAAUCACUCUGACUCUUGCACUAGGUUUGAGGAGGGAAGCUGCCACAUUGUGGCCUGCCUACAGAGAGGGCCACGUGGCAGGGAACUGAGGGCAGCCUCCAGCUGGCAGCCAGCAAGACAUCAGAGCUCUCAGUCCUACAGCUACAGUGAAAGACAUUCUUCCAACAACCAAGUGAGCUUGGAAGCAGCUGCUUCUCUCAUUGAGCCUCCAGAUGAGAACACAGCCUGGUCAUCACCUUGAUUGUAGCCUGCGAGACCUUGCAGCAAAGUAUUCAGUCCAUACCCAGACUUUUGAUUCCCCAAAACUGGGAGACGACACAUGUGUGUUGUUCAAAGCUGCUAAAUUUGUGGUAGUUUGUUACAUAGCAAUCGGUAAUGAAAAAAGGGGCAUGCAGAAUAAAUUAAUAAAACUGUGUCACAGGAGUGCUGUGCAGCUACCAAAUAAGGCAAGCUACAUCAGCCUCUUUGAAAGCACCAUUUGCGCCUAAUAAUAGGCAACUAUUUUGACUUCUUAGCCGUCCUUUUAAGAAGAUGUGGAAGAAAUGUUUCAAAAUAAAAAAUGGGGAAAAGCAGUGGA
This is a long non-coding RNA of Sapajus apella (tufted capuchin), 2687 nucleotides long. RefSeq lists it as uncharacterized. The record is from RefSeq and is a predicted model, not a curated record. NCBI's taxonomy places the organism in Eukaryota, Metazoa, Chordata, Mammalia, Primates, Cebidae. The transcript is spliced from 2 exons.